Molecule: ribosomal RNA, 253 nt
Filed under: uncultured bacterium
Lineage: Bacteria
Description: partial 16S ribosomal RNA
Rfam family: Bacterial small subunit ribosomal RNA
Source: RNAcentral
UACGAAGGGGGCUAGCGUUGCUCGGAAUUACUGGGCGUAAAGCGCACGUAGGCGGCUUUCUAAGUCGGGGGUGAAAUCCUGGAGCUCAACUCCAGAACUGCCUUCGAUACUGGAAAGCUCGAGUCCGGGAGAGGUGAGUGGAACUGCGAGUGUAGAGGUGAAAUUCGUAGAUAUUCGCAAGAACACCAGUGGCGAAGGCGGCACUCUGGGCCGGAACUGACGCUGAGGAGCGAAAGCGUGGGGAGCGAACAGG